CAGGGGAUCGCUUCCGGUCAUGAAUCGGGGGAGGAAAGUCCGAACUCCGCAGGGCGCGAUGCCGCGUAAUAUUGUUUUUGAACAGUAGUACACGCGGGCGGUAUGCUUGCAAAAUCAUAUUGACGGCCAGUGCAGCAGAAAACAGACCGCCUUGCUUCGGCUUGGUAAGGGUGAAAAGGUGGGGUAAGAGCCCACCGCUCCAAGGGCAACUGAGGAGGCAUGGCAAACCCCGCGUAGUGCAAGACAGAACAGGGGACGGGUUACCCGCCCGCAGUAUCCCCGGGUAAUAGUCGCAUCCUGCUUCGGCAGGAUCCGUCCAAGGUAACGCGGGCGGAAGAGAAAUGAUUGCCACCCUGUGUCGGCCAAAGGUUCGACACGGGAGACAGAAUCCGGCUUACAG
RNAcentral lists this RNase P RNA (400 nucleotides) under Verrucomicrobiales bacterium. RNAcentral describes it as "RNase P RNA component class A". It matches the Rfam family "Bacterial RNase P class A". From Rfam's summary of the family: Ribonuclease P (RNase P) is a ubiquitous endoribonuclease, found in archaea, bacteria and eukarya as well as chloroplasts and mitochondria. Its best characterised activity is the generation of mature 5'-ends of tRNAs by cleaving the 5'-leader elements of precursor-tRNAs. Lineage: Bacteria; Pseudomonadati; Verrucomicrobiota; Verrucomicrobiia; Verrucomicrobiales. The record is from RNAcentral.